Molecule: ribosomal RNA, 490 nt
Filed under: uncultured bacterium
Lineage: Bacteria
Description: partial 16S ribosomal RNA
Rfam family: Bacterial small subunit ribosomal RNA
Source: RNAcentral
AUUGAACGCUGGCGGCAGGCCUAACACAUGCAAGUCGAACGGUAACAGGAAGCAGCUUGCUGCUUCGCUGACGAGUGGCGGACGGGUGAGUAAUGUCUGGGAAGCUGCCUGAUGGAGGGGGAUAACUACUGGAAACGGUAGCUAAUACCGCAUAAUGUCGCAAGACCAAAGAGGGGGACCUUCGGGCCUCUUGCCAUCGGAUGUGCCCAGAUGGGAUUAGCUUGUUGGUGGGGUAACGGCUCACCAAGGGGACGAUCCCUAGCUGGUCUGAGAGGUUGACCAGGCAGACUGGAACUGUGACACGGGCCAGGCUACUAAGGGAGGCAGCUGUAGGGCAUAUCGCACAAUGGGCGCAAACCUGAUGCAGCCACGCCGGGUGGAGGAAGAAGGAACUCAGGUAGUGAAGUACUUGCAGCGGGGAAGAACAGAGUAGACUUCAUGCCGGUGCUCAUUGAUGUUUCCCGGAAAAGAAGCCUCGGCUCAGCCCGUG